GAAAUAAGUGAAUCAAGAGAGAGCUUCUAACUCAUCUCUUUAGCGAUGAAAUUCGUUAGUAUUUCU
This 66-nucleotide transfer RNA is filed under the name Staphylinidae sp. BMNH 1274642. Its description in RNAcentral is "tRNA-Ser". Lineage: Eukaryota; Metazoa; Arthropoda; Insecta; Coleoptera; Staphylinidae. The record is from RNAcentral.